This 253-nucleotide ribosomal RNA is filed under the name uncultured bacterium. RNAcentral describes it as "partial 16S ribosomal RNA". It matches the Rfam family "Bacterial small subunit ribosomal RNA", at positions 524 to 776 of the family's 1533-position model. The record is from RNAcentral.
UACGUAGGGCGCAAGCGUUGUCCGGAAUUAUUGGGCGUAAAGAGCUCGUAGGCGGCCUGUCGCGUCUGCUGUGAAAUCCCGGGGCUUAACCCCGGGCGUGCAGUGGAUACGGGCUGGCUGGAGGCAGGCAGGGGAGAACGGAAUUCCCGGUGUAGCGGUGAAAUGCGCAGAUAUCGGGAGGAACACCGGUGGCGAAGGCGGUUCUCUGGCCCGGUUCUGACGCUGAGGCGCGAAAGCGUGGGGAGCAAACAGG